This 468-nucleotide ribosomal RNA is filed under the name uncultured bacterium. RNAcentral describes it as "partial 16S ribosomal RNA". It matches the Rfam family "Bacterial small subunit ribosomal RNA", at positions 28 to 507 of the family's 1533-position model. The record is from RNAcentral.
GACGAACGCUGGCGGCGUGCUUAACACAUGCAAGUCGAACGGAAAGGCCCUGCUUUUGUGGGGUGCUCGAGUGGCGAACGGGUGAGUAACACGUGAGUAACCUGCCCUUGACUUUGGGAUAACUUCAGGAAACUGGGGCUAAUACCUGAUAGGAGCUCCUGCUGCAUGGUGGGGGUUGGAAAGUUUCGGCGGUUGGGGAUGGACUCGCGGCUUAUCAGCUUGUUGGUGGGGUAGUGGCUUACCAAGGCUUUGACGGGUAGCCGGCCUGUGAGGGUGACCGGAGACAUUGGGACUGAGAUACGGCCCAGACGCAUACGGGAGGCAGCAGUGGGGAAUAUUGCAAAAUGGGAGGAAGCAUGAUGAAGAAACGCAGCGUGCGGGAUGACGGCCUUCGGGUUGUAAACCGAUUUCGCAUGUGACGAAGCGUGAGUGACGGUAAUGGGUAAAGAAGCACCGGCUAACUACGUG